GUGGGGAAUAUUGCACAAUGGGCGAAAGCCUGAUGCAGCGACGCCGCGUGGGGGAUGACGGCCUUCGGGUUGUAAACCUCUUUUACCACCAACGCAGGCUCCACGUUCUCGUGGGGUUGACGGUAGGUGGGGAAUAAGGACCGGCUAACUACGUGCCAGCAGCCGCGGUAAUACGUAGGGUCCGAGCGUUGUCCGGAAUUAUUGGGCGUAAAGAGCUCGUAGGCGGCAUGUCGCGUCUGCUGUGAAAGACCGGGGCUUAACUCCGGUUCUGCAGUGGAUACGGGCAUGCUAGAGGUAGGUAGGGGAAACUGGAAUUCCUGGUGUAGCGGUGAAAUGCGCAGAUAUCAGGAGGAACACCGGUGGCGAAGGCGGGUUUCUGGGCCUUACCUGACGCUGAGGAGCGAAAGCAUGGGGAGCGAACAGGAUUAGAAACCCCGGUAGUCC
This 444-nucleotide ribosomal RNA is filed under the name uncultured bacterium. RNAcentral's name for it is "bacterial SSU rRNA". It matches the Rfam family "Bacterial small subunit ribosomal RNA", at positions 354 to 796 of the family's 1533-position model. The record is from RNAcentral.